CCUCUAGAGGUCAGUAGACCUGGUGGCCCAACUGAAGACAUUAGAUCACUUUUGAAAAGUGGAUGUCCAACACGCAAGUUUAGGACUGGUCUCAUCAAUCGGAUAGUUAUGGCAUAUUGCGUUUGUAUCGGUAACGACAAAUAACCUCAACAGCUUGAGGUCAAACUUUUACUAAAGAGGCAGAUUUUCAUUCACAACACUCGGGAUUUAUCUUUUUCGUGACAACAUCUACAACUUGAAACGUAGUGCCUUUUCUUGUGAACUUUGGGAAGGAUUUGACGUUAGGCGGACGUCAUGCUUGUGAAAGAGUAUCGCAUAUGUAUGCCACUGACGGUGGAAGAGUACAGGAUAGGGCAGUUGUAUACGAUUAGCAAACACAGCCACCAGGAAAGUGACACAGAGGAGGGGAUUGAAGUUGUUCGGAAUGAAUCACAUUAUGACCCUGCUCAUGGGCAGGGUCAACUCACAGAGAAGAGAAUUCACCUCUCCAGCAAGCUUCCAAGCUGGGCCCGUGCCUUCGUCCCACGUAUUUUUUACAUCACGGAAAGAGCCUGGAAUUAUUAUCCCUACACUAUAACGG
Long non-coding RNA from Sardina pilchardus (European sardine), 580 nucleotides. RefSeq lists it as uncharacterized. The record is from RefSeq and is a predicted model, not a curated record. The transcript has 4 exons. NCBI's taxonomy places the organism in Eukaryota, Metazoa, Chordata, Actinopteri, Clupeiformes, Clupeidae.